RNAcentral lists this ribosomal RNA (492 nucleotides) under uncultured bacterium. RNAcentral describes it as "partial 16S ribosomal RNA". It matches the Rfam family "Bacterial small subunit ribosomal RNA", at positions 28 to 508 of the family's 1533-position model. The record is from RNAcentral.
GAUGAACGCUGGCUACAGGCUUAACACAUGCAAGUCGAGGGGAAACGGCAUUGAGUGCUUGCACUGAAUGGACGUCGACCGGCGCACGGGUGAGUAACGCGUAUCCAACCUUCCCGUUACUGCGGGAUAACCUGCCGAAAGGCAGACUAAUACCGCAUGUUCUUCGAUGACGGCAUCAGAUUCGAAGCAAAGAUCCGUCGGUAACGGAGGGGGAUGCGUCUGAUUAGCUAGUUGGCGGGGCGACGGCCCACCAAGGCGACGAUCAGUAGGGGUUCUGAGAGGAAGGUCCCCCACAUUGGAACUGAGACACGGUCCAAACUCCUACGGGAGGCAGCAGUGAGGAAUAUUGGUCAAUGGGCGGAAGCCUGAACCAGCCAAGUAGCGUGCAGGAUGACGGCCCUACGGGUUGUAAACUGCUUUAUGCGGGGAUAAAGUGAGGGACGCGUCCCUUUUUGCAGGUACCGCAUGAAUAAGGACCGGCUAAUUCCGUGC